AUAGUGGAUGGAGACAUUAAAGCCUACAGUUUUGGGUGUCCAUGCACGGACAUUUCUCUUGAUUUUCUCGAACUGAGUUCAGAUCUAGAAAUUUCUCCUUGCAUUAAUGACGUCUUGUGGUCCUAAGAUAACCCAUCUGGACGACUGGUUAUGUAGAAUUAGAUGCAAAGAGAGAUCAGAGAAGAACUUGGAGGAGAGAGGGAGG
This 205-nucleotide long non-coding RNA is filed under the name Spirodela polyrhiza (greater duckweed). Its description in RNAcentral is "long non-coding RNA (SPOL_LNC002539)". Lineage: Eukaryota; Viridiplantae; Streptophyta; Magnoliopsida; Alismatales; Araceae. The record is from RNAcentral.